AAAAGAUUUUAAAAAAAGGUAGAGGAGCUUUUCAUUAACCUUGAAUCUGAAACCUUCCAGUAACCUUGGAACACCCUUGGCUUACAGGAUUAUUACCUCGUGCUCAAUAUUCACCCUCCUCUAGGGAGAAGGAUUUAUCUUUUUGUCUUUAAUCUCUGAUCCAAGAAAUGACAUUAAAGGAAAGCAUAGGCUCUGGGGAUGAUCAGGUCUCCCAGAUCUUGUUCUCCAUUAAGCAGGCUUAACUGAAGCCAAGAAAGACCUUAUACAUCCACAACAACCCCUUACCUCCACCUGAAAAGAUGUCACCUCAGGUGACUACUAUAUGCCCUACCUAGAAAAAGGUAGGGGGAUAUGCUGUAAAAGCAUAGACAUUGUUCCUUAACAUCUCAGUGGCAUCAUGAGUGAGAGCUUCUACUUUCUAUCUGGAGACAAGUGUUUAUAUCAAUCUCUCCCAAACUUUCAAGGGUUACUACAGGGAACAGUGGGUACUCCACAGAUUUCUAUAAAGCUUUCCCAAAAGUUUGGUAUGUGCUUGAUUGAUAUUCUGUAGGUCUAUGUUAGCUCAUACAACCAGGUUGAUGAAUGAUGCCAUAUUGCUCCCAGCUCAAGUGCUUUGGCAAGCAUUGCCUUCAUGUGCUCCCACUUCUUGGUACAAUGACAGAUGCUACCAGUUAUCAGCAGGUGGUUUGGAUUUUCCUUUUCAGUCACCCUCCACUGACUCCCAUUUUUUGAUGUGGUUCUGGCACAUUUUAAACAGUCUCACUCUGCUUCUUUUGGCAAGAGUUUUAAACAUUUGGUUGUAGAAGGGGAAAAAGACUUUUUAUUUUAAACCUUUGAAUAAGAAUAGGAGACAAUCAGGCUCUGCUAUUACAAAUCCAAUAUCUGAUAUUAGAUGGAUUUAUCAGUUUGGAAGAGUAAGAUAAAUUCCUUUUUUUUUGGUAUUUUUUUUUCUCAAGUCACAAGUGACUAGGUAAUACGGUUCAUUGUGUCUUACCAUCUGAAGAAAACUGUUUUGGCCAUACAGCUCCAAAUGGCUCAUGAACUGCAAGCUGCAACUGAAGAUUGAGAUAUGAGGGAGACUGAGAUAUGAGGGAGACUGUCUCUGAACUAACAAGAGCAAAGUAUUUCAGUCUCUUAGAGGCUGUGUGCCCACACUGACAUAAUCGGGAAGCUUCACAAUAGCAUCUUGAGAGAAGCCACAUUACUGGUCUUAAAUGCUACAACUUCGGUUCCUCUGUCUGAAUAUCUUGACUAAUUAUCUCCAAAACUUUAGUUUUCACACAUUUCUUUAUUCCUUACAGUAGUCAUUCCAAGUACUUUUCAAGGGGUGGUAAAAGAUGUAAGUCCUUUCUUCUAAACCUGUUUCUUGUUUCAGGCUGUUGACAGUUGAUUUGAAUCUGUAUCAUCCUAAAUAGCAUAGUGUUGAACAGCAUGGUUACAGCAAUCAUCCUUCCUAUUCCUCAACCCUUCUUCCCCAGCUCUUUUCAAAAGCCCUUUCCAGGAGACUAGGCGUUACCGAGAGCAAGAAGCUCAUUCAGCUUUCUCAUUCACAGAGCCUUUCAUCUUGGAGUGGAGGGCCUGGAUUUUGUAGGGCUUGUCCUAAUAGGUGUGUCAGGUAAAGAUACCUCUUUGAUUUCUAAGCUAAACAUCUUUAACCACCAAUAUGACUUUAGGAUGAUAACAUUAGUGGUGAUAAUACCUUCACUUCAGCAGGGGGCAUUAUUUCAUGUUGCUUGGUCCUGAACACACCUAUUUCCAUAAAGAGAUUUGCCUGCAUAACAUCAUGGACCAUAAGCACUACCAAUACAACUUCCAUUUCUUGAAAGUCUUUGCUGUUCAGAGUAUGGGUAUUUGUGCUCCUAAUGAUAAAUAAGUACAACAAAUAAUUUUUUAUUCUUACUUGGCAGUUAGUCAAUGAAUAUACCUUUCUAGAAUAAUGCCAGCUUCUUUAUAGGUAUUAUAGAAUCAUAGAAUCAUUAGAAUCAUUAAGGUUGGAAAAGACCUCCAAGAUCAUAUCACUUCCCUUUUUUCUUCAGUUGUUUGGGGCUCACAAUUAAUAUCUUCUCUGCAGUUAUUUUCAGGCACCUAAAGUGAGCCUUCAUAUUCCAGCAUACUAGAGUACCAGAAAGUGUUUUUACUUAUGGUACUUCAUAUGUCAGGCCCAUGUAAAUGGGAAGUCUGAGAGGACAUUAUAAAGAUUAUCUUUGAUGGGACUGGGCAUUUCCUAUGAUCAACUUUUUUGACUUAAGGAUGAAGAAAGGGGUUCAGCUUUCCAUGACUUGCCUGGACCUGAUAUUUUCAUUCCUCAUUCCUGUUCCAGUUGCUUGGUGUACAUCCGUCCAGUUCUGCUUCUUUUGAGGAUGUCCAGAGAGCUAAAGCCAGAUGGUGCCAGAUUUAUGAGGUCAAAAUCAUUCCAAAGACGAACAAUGAUCCAAAGACCUACAUUUUCUACCAGUGGAGUAGCCCUUAGGUCUUUGAGCCAUACUGCCAGAAUUUGUAUCAGAACCUAUCUGCUAUCUCUUUCCUGUGUCUCACAGCUUGGACAAGUUUAUUAGCACAGAGCAGAUUUAUUUUUUCCUUGUGUAAGAUGUUACAAGCUUUGGAAAAAGCUAGUGGUGAGGUGCAAGUGGAUCAGACUUUCACUGAGUUGUAUGGCUAGAUUUCUGUUACUCAGUGAAGUUUCACUACUUUUUAUUCUGAAA
Oxyura jamaicensis (ruddy duck) is the source of this 2702-nucleotide long non-coding RNA. RefSeq lists it as uncharacterized. The record is from RefSeq and is a predicted model, not a curated record. Lineage: Eukaryota; Metazoa; Chordata; Aves; Anseriformes; Anatidae. The transcript is spliced from 2 exons.